RNAcentral lists this ribosomal RNA (442 nucleotides) under uncultured bacterium. RNAcentral's name for it is "partial 16S ribosomal RNA". It matches the Rfam family "Bacterial small subunit ribosomal RNA", at positions 338 to 795 of the family's 1533-position model. The record is from RNAcentral.
CCUACGGGAGGCUGCAGUGGGGGAUAUUGGACAAUGGGGGAAACCUGAUCCAGCGACGCCGCGUGAGUGAAGAAUUAUUUCCGUAUGGAAAGCUCUGUCAGCAGGGAAGAAAGAAAUGAUGGAACCUGACCAAGACGACCCGGCUAACUACGUGCCAGCAGCCGCGGUAAUACGUAGGGGGCAAGCGUUAUCCGGAAUUACUGGGUGUAAAGGGAGCGUAGACGGUUACGUAAGUCUGGAGUGAAAGGCCGGGGCUCAACCCCGGGACUGCACUGGAAACUAUUGAACUUGAGUGCAGGAGAGGUAAGCGGAAUUCCAAGUGUAGCGGUGAAAUGCGUAGAUAUUAGGAGGAACACCAGUGGCGAAGGCGGCUUACUGGACUGUAACUGACGUUGAGGCGCGAAAGCGUGGGGAGCAAACAGGAUUAGAUACCCCUGUAGUC